Molecule: long non-coding RNA, 324 nt
Filed under: Elaeis guineensis (African oil palm)
Lineage: Eukaryota; Viridiplantae; Streptophyta; Magnoliopsida; Arecales; Arecaceae
Description: long non-coding RNA (EGUI_LNC053444)
Source: RNAcentral
GCUCGUGAUAGAAGUUCGGAGUAGACCGCUCACAGUAGAAGUUCAGAGUAGACCGCUCGCAAUAGAAGUUCGGAGUAGACCGCUCGCUGUAGGAGUUCGGAGUAGACAGCUCGCUGUAGGAGUUCGGUUAGAAUCUUGAAGGCGGUCGACCGUCGUAGAAACUUGGAUGGAGUCUGAUUACUGUAGAAACCUCAUUGUCGAAGAAGCUCAGAUAUUGACGAAGUCCGAAAGGAGUUCGGAGAAUAGUUGAUCACUGUAGAAGGUCGGCUGACAGUGAGGCCUAGAGAGCCUUUGGAACGGCACGGUAGAUGGAUGGAGAAGCUC